UGGGGGAAUAUUGGGCAAUGGGCGCAAGCCUGACCCAGCAACGCCGCGUGAAGGAAGAAGGCUUUCGGGUUGUAAACUUCUUUUGUCAGGGACGAGUAGAAGACGGUACCUGACGAAUAAGCCACGGCUAACUACGUGCCAGCAGCCGCGGUAAUACGUAGGUGGCGAGCGUUGUCCGGAAUUACUGGGUGUAAAGGGAGUGUAGGCGGGAAUGCAAGUCAGAAGUGAAAACUAUGGGCUUAACCCAUAGCCUGCUUUUGAAACUGUAUUCUUGAGUGAAGCAGAGGCAAGCGGAAUUCCUAGUGUAGCGGUGAAAUGCGUAGAUAUUAGGAGGAACACCAGUGGCGAAGGCGGCUUGCUGGG
Molecule: ribosomal RNA, 363 nt
Filed under: uncultured Clostridium sp.
Lineage: Bacteria; Bacillati; Bacillota; Clostridia; Eubacteriales; Clostridiaceae
Description: bacterial SSU rRNA
Rfam family: Bacterial small subunit ribosomal RNA
Source: RNAcentral